Molecule: long non-coding RNA, 1615 nt
Organism: Adelges cooleyi (spruce gall adelgid)
Lineage: Eukaryota; Metazoa; Arthropoda; Insecta; Hemiptera; Adelgidae
Exons: 4
Source: RefSeq, a predicted model, not a curated record
UCAUGCUCGUAAAAUAGGUAAAUUAUAUUUUCUUAAAUAGUACACAUUUUUACGAUACAUUUAUAAUGAUUAAAAACCAACUAGUUCAUAUGACGACAACAAUAAUUAUUGUAUGAUGGUAGUCGUCUGAAGUCAUAAAAAGCUUAUCGGUAUGCUUAUUCAUUAGAGCGGUUCGAUUCCUGAAACUAUCUCUAGUCUGAUUAAAUGUGUUUUAAGAUAAGUCAAAGAUGAUGGUUGAACAGUUCUCCAUUACACUAACUGGAAGAAAUAAUUGUUUUAUCAUUUAUCUAAAUAGACUAGAAUGUGACCAGUGGAAGAUUAAAUGGACAUAUCAUAUAUUUCUCCAUGGACACUGUAAUUCAUAGACUGAUUUUUGACACUAUAUUUGAAUAUUUCUUAUUAACGUUAAUUGGAUUUUGUGCAAAACCCCUGGAAGAAUAUUCUGUAUCAGACUAACAGUAUAAACGCCACCCAGUAAUUCUGUUUACCUGCUGUUAGACAUCGUAGUAUCAUCUCCAAUCUCUUUAUAUUUUGUUCAAUUUUAUUCAAAAAAGUGUCAUUAUAAUUUAUUAUUAAUCAAGUGUAAUUCAUUUGUCUAUUUAUUGAAUAACUUAUUAUCCUGUCUUCAACGUCCAUAUAAACUGUACUGUAUUUAUGGCCACUACACUGAUAUCUCAUUUGGCUAAAUAUUUUUAAUUUUCAACUACAUUAAAACAAAAUUAAGAUUGUUUAAAUUUUUUUUUUUAAAUACUUUUAUUAUUGUUUGAAUAUUUUUACACUUUGAGUGUCAAUACAAGUAUCUUAUCAUAUUCUAGACUUAAAACUGUAUUAGUUUAAAGAUACUAACAGUAUAUUACUAUUACAAUUUUGACAAACAUAAUUAUUUGCCUACCAAACAAAUUGUAAAUUUAGUUUCUAUAUUUACUUAUUUAUUAAUAUUUACUUACCUUAAUAACAUUAAAGUAUUAAUUUAUUGUAAAAAUAUCUUGACCUAACUGAAAGAUUGAAAAUUUGUAAACUGUUGUGAAAUUAUGUCGAUGUUCUUAGGAAAAAAUGUGUAGUCAAAAUUUUGAAUACCUAGAUUAAAAAAAAAAACGGUACAAUUUUUUUUUUGCUAAAAGAAGUAAUUAUACAUUUGUAAAUUUUGAUGUUUAGUUUAUAAAAUAUACUUUUUUUAAUUAAAAAAUAUCUUUACUUAAGUAUCAUAAAAAAUUGUUUUAUUUUAAUCAAUGUCAAUUCUCUGAUUAAUAUAUUAUGUAUUAAAUAAUUGAAUAUUUCUAUAUAUUUUAUAGUAUUUAUCAGAUUAUUUGAUGUGUCUUAAACUAUUACAUUUAUUAUUUCUAUUAUUACUAUUUAUUAUUUAUUUAAAACGACUUAUCAAACUUUAUGAAUUGUACUUUAUAAAUUAUAAAAUUGGUCUGAAAUGUGUACUGUGUUACUAUAGGUAGCCUGAUAGACAGGAAGUCUAUAUUGUUUUUUAGAAAUAAAAGUUGUUUUUUCUUGGUUAGCUUAAUUAUAUAGUGUGAUUCACUAAUUUUCUCUCAUAAUAAUUUCAAUUAGGUAAAAUUAUUUUUCAAAACAUUUUUGUUUGUGUUAUUUUACAACUAAAAACAUG